This 454-nucleotide ribosomal RNA is filed under the name uncultured bacterium. RNAcentral's name for it is "partial 16S ribosomal RNA". It matches the Rfam family "Bacterial small subunit ribosomal RNA", at positions 28 to 507 of the family's 1533-position model. The record is from RNAcentral.
GAUGAACGCUGACAGAAUGCUUAACACAUGCAAGUCUACUUGAACUUCGGUUUGGGUGGCGGACGGGUGAGUAACGCGUAAAGAACUUGCCUCACAGAUAGGGACAACAUUUGGAAACGAAUGCUAAUACCUGAUAUUAUGAUUUUAGGGCAUCCUAGAAUUAUGAAAGCUAUAUGCACUGUGAGAGAGCUUUGCGUCCCAUUAGCUAGUUGGAGAGGUAACGGCUCACCAAGGCGAUGAUGGGUAGCCGGCCUGAGAGGGUGAUCGGCCACAAGGGGACUGAGACACGGCCCUUACUCCUACGGGAGGCAACAGUGGGGAAUAUUGGACAAUGGACCAAGAGUCUGAUCCAGCAAUUCUGUGUGCACGAUGAAGUUUUUCGGAAUGUAAAGUGCUUUCAGUUGGGAAGAAAAAAAUGACGGUACCAACAGAAGAAGUGACGGCUAAAUACGCG